CCUACGGGAGGCAGCAGUCGAGAAUCAUUCACAAUGGGGGAAACCCUGAUGGUGCGACGCCGCGUGGGGGAAUGAAGGUCUUCGGAUUGUAAACCCCUGUCAUGUGGGAGCAAAUUAAAAAGAUAGUACCACAAGAGGAAGAGACGGCUAACUCUGUGCCAGCAGCCGCGGUAAUACAGAGGUCUCAAGCGUUGUUCGGAAUCACUGGGCGUAAAGCGUGCGUAGGCUGUUUCGUAAGUCGUGUGUGAAAGGCGCGGGCUCAACCCGCGGACGGCACAUGAUACUGCGAGACUAGAGUAAGGGAGGGGGAACCGGAAUUCUCGGUGUAGCAGUGAAAUGCGUAGAUAGCGAGAGGAACACUCGUGGCGAAGGCGGGUUCCUGGACAUUAACUGACGCUGAGGCACGAAGGCCAGGGGAGCGAAAGGGAUUAGAUACCCGAGUAGUC
Molecule: ribosomal RNA, 446 nt
Filed under: uncultured bacterium
Lineage: Bacteria
Description: partial 16S ribosomal RNA
Rfam family: Bacterial small subunit ribosomal RNA
Source: RNAcentral